AGCCUCCCAUACCGUUCCAUC
RNAcentral lists this microRNA (21 nucleotides) under Gallus gallus (chicken). Its description in RNAcentral is "microRNA Ros-gga". Lineage: Eukaryota; Metazoa; Chordata; Aves; Galliformes; Phasianidae. The record is from RNAcentral.